GACUCCGUAGCUCAGUUGGUAGAGCAGCUGACUCUUAAUCAGCGGGUCCACGGUUCGAGUCCGUGCGGGGUCA
Molecule: transfer RNA, 73 nt
Filed under: Williamsia sp.
Lineage: Bacteria; Bacillati; Actinomycetota; Actinomycetes; Mycobacteriales; Nocardiaceae
Description: tRNA-Lys
Rfam family: tRNA
About the family: Transfer RNA (tRNA) molecules are approximately 80 nucleotides in length. Their secondary structure includes four short double-helical elements and three loops (D, anti-codon, and T loops).
Source: RNAcentral